UGGAAAAUCUUGAGGAGGAAAAUCAAAGUUGCAAGGAAGUGGAAAAUCUUGAGGAGGAAAAUCAAAGUUGCAAGGAAGUGGAAAAUCUUGAGGAGGAAAAUCAAAGUUGCAACCAAAAUAUGAGCAUGAGGAAAAUCAAAGUUGCAAGGAAGUGGAAAAUCUUGAGGAGGAAAAUCAAAGUUGCAACCAAGUGGAAAAACUUGAGGAGGAAAAUCAAUUCAAGUUGA
This 227-nucleotide long non-coding RNA is filed under the name Rosa chinensis. RNAcentral's name for it is "sRNA RchiOBHm_Chr2g0124771". Lineage: Eukaryota; Viridiplantae; Streptophyta; Magnoliopsida; Rosales; Rosaceae. The record is from RNAcentral.